GACGUAGGGGGCAAGCGUUGUCCGGAAUUAUUGGGCGUAAAGAGCUCGUAGGCGGUCUGUCGCGUCGGCUGUGAAAACCCGGAGCUCAACUCCGGGCCUGCAGUCGAUACGGGCAGACUGGAGUUCGGCAGGGGAGACUGGAAUUCCCAGUGUAGAGGUGAAAUUCGUAGAUAUUGGGAAGAACACCGGUGGCGAAGGCGGCUAUCUGGACCGUAACUGACGCUGAGGCGCGAAAGCGUGGGGAGCAAACAGG
Molecule: ribosomal RNA, 253 nt
Filed under: uncultured bacterium
Lineage: Bacteria
Description: partial 16S ribosomal RNA
Rfam family: Bacterial small subunit ribosomal RNA
Source: RNAcentral